Molecule: long non-coding RNA, 1429 nt
Filed under: Homo sapiens (human)
Lineage: Eukaryota; Metazoa; Chordata; Mammalia; Primates; Hominidae
Description: HSALNT0366601
Source: RNAcentral
GGCGAUAAAGCUGCCGGAGUCCGCGGCGGCGGAGGCGGCUGCGGCGAGCAAGGAGGCUGACGACGCACAAUGCAAAGACGGCUUUUCAGAGCAGCCAGUGGGGCAGGACAAUGUUUUUCAUCAAAUGUCCUUAGAUUUGGAGGAGGCCAGGAAAGCGGAAGAGACCUCCAGCUGCACAACGACCUGUCCCCCACACCCAACCACAAGUUUAUGAAGGGAUGCAGAACAGCAUGAAUACUGCAAAAGAUGCUCUGUGCAUCAGAACGUCCAGAAGAGAGAGAUUUAAAUUGCUUUCAGCUAAGCUGUAGACCUCUAGCAGAUGAACGACAUAUUUUCCUGAAGGACUUGCUUCGGUGUGGAAGUGAUUCCGCUGUGAGUUGUGUCUUUUGCGUUGUUGCACUCUUCAUCAUAUUCAUCCGCAGGACCUCCAGCUCUAAAGGGUGUGAAGAGGAUACUGACCCACCAGAAAGAGACCCCACUGCUAGAACGAAUAAGAUGUGCUGAAAGCCGGAGCAUAACUUGGCCAUUCCCAAGAUUUAACAACAAACUAACUACCCAUCAUUAACAGUAAAGAAAGAAAACAAUCAGUAAGAGAUUAUAUAGACCUAAGAGAUGUUACAGACCGAAGAAGAACCUAUGGAGGAAGACAGGAAGAUGAGAGAGAUUUGAAGAUGGUAUGUGGCUGAAUUUGAAGAUAGAGAAAGGAACCGCAAGCAAAGAAUGCAAGAGGUCUCUAGAAGCUGGAAAAGGCAAGGAAAGAGUCUCCCCUCAAGCUCCAGCAGGAAUGCAGUCCUGACACCUUGAGUUUAGCCUAGUGAGACUUCUGACCUCCAGAACUAGAAGAUACAAGUGGUGUUUUAAGGCACUAAAACGAAGAACUAGAAGUAUUGUUUUAAGCCCAUAAAUUUGUGAUAAUCUGUUACAGUAGUAAUAGGCAAUGCAUACACAAGCACACAAAGUAAAAUUUUUCUGUGGUUAUUUUCCAUAUUUUUUCAGUUAUUUUCUGCCUUUUGAAGACAUUAAAGACAUAAAAUGAAUAUGUAUUAGUUUAGGAAUAAAAUUUAAAAUGUAGGAAUGCUAUAAAAGAAGAAAAAAUUUUAACUGGGCUAAAGCAAACCCAGUAUGUCAUCCUAUUACAUCAGCUUCUUCAUCUUUGGAUGAAGAGGUUGGUGACUGUUUCUUCUAAUGUGAGAAUAGCUCCAAAUUGCUAAAUUGUUCAGAAUUUGACAAGAUGAAAGAGGAAAGAAAAAGGAAAUCUUGAAAACAUUUACUGUUUCCUUGUUCAAUGGAUAACACAUGGAUUCCUGAUUGGGAGAUUUUUCCUCUUGCUUUGAUCUGAAGGCAGAAGGAAAUAUAUUCAUUAUUGUUUAAAAGAAUACAUUUUAACCUAACUUUAAAACAUUCAUGAUAUAUUUGUGAACCAUAAUCU